Molecule: ribosomal RNA, 449 nt
Filed under: uncultured bacterium
Lineage: Bacteria
Description: partial 16S ribosomal RNA
Rfam family: Bacterial small subunit ribosomal RNA
Source: RNAcentral
AACGAACGCUGGCGGCAGGCCUAACACAUGCAAGUCGAGCGCCCUCGCGAGGGGGAGCGGCGGACGGGUGAGUAACGCGUGGGAACGUGCCUCUUGCUUCGGAAUAGCCUCGGGAAACUGGGGGUAAUACCGAAUGUGCCCUACGGGGGAAAGAUUUAUCGGCAAGAGAUCGGCCCGCGUUGGAUUAGGUAGUUGGUGGGGUAAUGGCCUACCAAGCCGACGAUCCAUAGCUGGUUUGAGAGGAUGAUCAGCCACACUGGGACUGAGACACGGCCCAGACUCCUACGGAAGGCAGCAGUGGGGAAUCUUAGACAAUGGGCGCAAGCCUGAUCUAGCCAAGCCGCGUGAGCGAUGAAGGCCUUAGGGUUGUAAAGCUCUUUCGUGGGGGAAGAUAACGACUGUACCCCAAGAAGAAGCCCCGGCUAACUCCGUGCCAGCCGCCGCGGUAA